GUGGGGAAUAUUGGACACUGGGGGGAACCCUGAUCCAGCCAUGCCGCGUGUGUGAAGAAGGCCUUUUGGUUGUAAAGCACUUUAAGCGAGGAGGAGGCUACCGAGAUUAAUACUCUUGGAUAGUGGACGUUACUCGCAGAAUAAGCACCGGCUAACUCUGUGCCAGCAGCCGCGGUAAUACAGAGGGUGCAAGCGUUAAUCGGAUUUACUGGGCGUAAAGCGCGCGUAGGUGGCCAAUUAAGUCAAAUGUGAAAUCCCCGAGCUUAACUUGGGAAUUGCAUUCGAUACUGGUUGGCUAGAGUAUGGGAGAGGAUGGUAGAAUUCCAGGUGUAGCGGUGAAAUGCGUAGAGAUCUGGAGGAAUACCGAUGGCGAAGGCAGCCAUCUGGCCUAAUACUGACACUGAGGUGCGAAAGCAUGGGGAGCAAACAGGAUUAGAUACCCCAGUAGUCC
This 451-nucleotide ribosomal RNA is filed under the name uncultured bacterium. RNAcentral's name for it is "partial 16S ribosomal RNA". It matches the Rfam family "Bacterial small subunit ribosomal RNA", at positions 354 to 796 of the family's 1533-position model. The record is from RNAcentral.